ACAGUAUUACGUACAAACACUUGGUUCUAGCAUCCACAGAUCACUAUGCAGCAUCUAGACCUACACUUCUGUUGCAUUUUAACUAAUAAUGAACACCAGUAACAUAAUUCGGGACACGACCAUUACAAACAUAAUUCGGGACACGACCAUUACAACAGAGAGAUUUAUCCAGGCAAUCCACCUGACCAAACAUACAAAUACCCUGGUAUAACACGACUAAGUUACCAUCAUUCGUGCAAAUAACACAAUCGUACACAACCUUAGCCAAUUG
RNAcentral lists this long non-coding RNA (271 nucleotides) under Zea mays. Its description in RNAcentral is "long non-coding RNA (ZMAY_LNC002006)". Lineage: Eukaryota; Viridiplantae; Streptophyta; Magnoliopsida; Poales; Poaceae. The record is from RNAcentral.